Chinchilla lanigera (long-tailed chinchilla) is the source of this 580-nucleotide long non-coding RNA. RefSeq lists it as uncharacterized. The transcript has 4 exons. NCBI's taxonomy places the organism in Eukaryota, Metazoa, Chordata, Mammalia, Rodentia, Chinchillidae. The record is from RefSeq and is a predicted model, not a curated record.
UCCUGGAUGAGAGUGAUCUAAUCAAAGCACUUUAAAAGAGGAGAAGUAAAUUCUAGAAGGCAUCAGAAACUCUCUCCUGCUGGUCUAAAAUAAACAACACACCAUGAGUACUAUGGCUACGAGGGAAUGAAUUCUGCCAACAACCUGUCAUAUUUUAUGAAGAUGAAUUACACAUUUGUAUUUUGAUGAAUGAGUCCCAGGCCUUCCUUCAAAAAGCAGCAUGACUUGGUGGGCCAAAAUGGAGGCCGUUUGUUCAAAGGCAGCUUAAAAACAGAGUUGGUAUUCUUUGAAAGCUUGCCCUUUGCAUGUGGACAUGUCCUAAAGUUGAGAAAUUUCAGGAAGUGGAGGAGGAAAAACAACAGACUGAAGAUCAAUCUCAGAAACAAUGGCCUGCAGAGCUGUAGAACUUCACAAUGUCACUUAUGACAAGGCAAUAAAGAAGAUAAUUAAAAUAUUUGUAAAGUAUUAUGGUGAAAUAGAUAUAUACACAAAGAAUGAUAUUUAAUUACAUCCUGAAAGUUUAAUACUGGGUGCCCUGAAAGUUUUAAAACAGUUGUAAGCUUCAAUAAUUUCAGAAGUG